GGGAUACUUGUUGAAUCCCUUUUCAAUGCUUUUGCAACUGCUGCAUUCUUCAAGUUUGUUGUGUUCUCGAUCUUUGAGAUGAGAUAUCUACUUGCUAUAUGGAAGGCAAAUAGGCCCAUGAAUAGCGUAGAGGGUUGGGAAGCAAUGAGGCGUGAAUUGUCAGUACUUUACAGCCGUUUCUAUGGGAUCCUUUUAGGCGGACUGUUGUUCAUGUAUGAGUUUCACAAGUUUCUGCGCCCUAUUCUUCUACUUUUACACUCAUUCUGGUUACCUCAAAUUGUAACUAAUGUCAUUCGUGACUCAAGAAAACCAUUGCACCCUCAUUACAUCUUGG
Molecule: unclassified non-coding RNA, 334 nt
Filed under: Hevea brasiliensis (rubber tree)
Lineage: Eukaryota; Viridiplantae; Streptophyta; Magnoliopsida; Malpighiales; Euphorbiaceae
Source: RNAcentral